UACGGAGGAGGCAAGCGUUAUCCGGAAUUAUUGGGCGUAAAGCGUCCGUAGAUGGUCGCUUCAAGUCUGCUGUCAAAGACCGGGGCUUAACCCCAGAAAAGCAGUGGAAACUGAACAGCUAGAGGGGUAGGGGUAGAGGGAAUUCCCAGUGUAGCGGUGAAAUGCGUAGAGAUUGGGAAGAACAUCAGUGGCGAAAGCGCUCUACUGGACCUUAUCUGACAUUGAGGGACGAAAGCUAGGGGAGCGAAUGGG
Molecule: ribosomal RNA, 252 nt
Filed under: uncultured bacterium
Lineage: Bacteria
Description: partial 16S ribosomal RNA
Rfam family: Bacterial small subunit ribosomal RNA
Source: RNAcentral